GAGCGGCGAACGGGUGAGUAAUGCUUCGGAAUCUACCUAGUAGUGGGGAACAACUAACCGAAAGGUUAGCUAAUGCCGCAUACGACACGGGUGAAAGCGGGGGAUCGCAAGACCUCGCGCUAUUGGAUGAGCCGAAGUCGGAUUAGCUAGUUGGUAGGGUAACGGCCUACCAAGGCGACAAUCCGUAGCUGGUCUGAGAGGACGACCAGCCACACUGGGACUGAGACACGGCCCAGACUCCUACGGGAGGCAGCAGUGGGGAAUAUUGGACAAUGGGGGAAACCCUGAUCCAGCGACGCCGCGUGUGUGAAGAAGGCCUGCGGGUUGUAAAGCACUUUUAGUGGGGAUGAAAAGCCCAGGGCUAAUACCCUUGGGUCUUGACCUAACCCAAAGAAAAAGCACCGGCUAACUCUGUGCCAGCAGCCGCGGUAAUACAGAGGGUGCGAGCGUUAAUCGGAAUUACUGGGCGUAAAGCGUGCGUAGACGGUUUCGUAAGUCGGGUGUGAAAUCCCCGGGCUCAACCUGGGAAUUGCAUUCGAGACUGCGAGGCUAGGGUGCGGAAGAGGGAAGCGGAAUUUCCGGUGUAGCGGUGAAAUGCGUAGAUAUCGGAAGGAACAUCAGUGGCGAAGGCGGCUUCCUGGUCCAGCAC
Molecule: ribosomal RNA, 649 nt
Filed under: uncultured bacterium
Lineage: Bacteria
Description: bacterial SSU rRNA
Rfam family: Bacterial small subunit ribosomal RNA
Source: RNAcentral